CCGAGCUUUGCAGCCCUCCCCACACCGGAGAGAAAAAACGUUUUUGUCCAGGCUGAACAGGUGAGCAGAGGUUCAGUUAACUGCCGUCAUCGAAGUAAUAGAUGACUGGAAACUUCUAGGAAUAGUGUGUUCGCCACUGAAGGAGGAGCCGUUAGAAGUAGACCUCGAUUUGUUUUUUGAGGAAACCCUUUGGCUUGUUGAUUGAGGGUUAAAUCACCUUUUCCUGCCUGGAAAGCCAACACAUUUAAGGACUCCGAUGCACUGCUUUGGUCCACUGGAGGGGUAUUGAUACUCAUGGGUGCCACAUCCAUGGCAGGAUGUCUUCAUCAUAUCCUGUUUCGUCAAAGAUGUGGUAGGAUCAUUUAAGACCUCUACACGAUUCAAAGGACUAAGGGUUUUUUUCCCUUCCUGAGUGAGGGUUUGGACUCUUUUUUUGGCAACUUUCCAACAUUUUAAUGGACUGAAUUAUCAAUUUGCCCAAAAGCAAGAAGACUGUGUGACAUAGUCCUGAACACAUUGUUAAAGGACAAUUGGUUUUAUUUAUUUAUCUAUUUAUUGAUUGUUCAAUUUUAUCAUUCCUCUAAGAACCCUCUAGGAGAGGGAAUUUAGCAUUUAUUUCCUUUAUGAUGAAUUUUAAAAACUGUUACCUACUUCAAUAGAUUUAAUUUGUUGAAUUGAUUGUUGUGUGUGUGGUUUGUGGGUUGGAGGUUUCAAACCUCAGAUAAUGAGCUACUACUGCUAAGAACCCAGCAAUAGAGUUCAAAGGAACAAAAAGCAAGAAACUUUAGUAAAUAAGACACAUUUGAUCCUGUAGCUCUCACAACACUUUAACUUUGAAGAAGUAUUCCGCGCUGAUAUAUUUGAAUACAGAUACUCAGUUUUUCAGGGAGCCACAGGUUACACAUGCAAUGUUUAAACAGUCACUCAUCUCAGACACAUAUAAUAAACCAACAAAAUUGUUUAGAAAACUAUCAGACAGAUUCUAGAGUGUUUCUGUUACUUUAUUACUUGUUGUUUGUAACUGUUUACAGAGUGGCGAUGACACAGAGCAUUUUCCCAGCUUUAGCCAGGUGCCUCUCGUUUGUCUGACUACUUUCAUAAACUAAAGUUAAGAGCAAAAAAUUAUUCUGUUUGGUGCUUUCAGCGCUGCACAAAUAUUGGAUAAAUGUUGAAAAUAUAGCUUACCUUGACUUUUGUAAAGUUUCUGGUGCCACCAGGCAGCUGCACCAGAGAUCAGAGACAAUCUCUGAAUAAUGUUCACAACAUGGGCGCCGCAGUUGUCAGGAAAGAGGCUGACGUGUUUUCCAAAUUCUGCAUCAGUCCAAGCAAGGCCAUUUCUUUCCUUUUUUAUUCUGAUUUAGUAGCCUUUAACAGAGCACGGUGCAUUGUUGUGUGCGUCAGUGAUAUUCGGUCUGCGAGGAAAUCAUGCAUUGACAAAGAUUCUGCCUUGCUUGAAAUGCAAGUUGUGAUAAAAUGCAUGACAUUUUUUACACAUCAUUGUUUCUAAUUAAUUAAUUAAUCAGAAUUAAUGCGUUAAAGUCCCACUCCUACUUUAUAUUUGUUAAACAUUCUUGAGUUGUAUUUAUAGAUUACAACAUUUACGUUAUUGUUUAUCCAUCCUCUUCUGUUUAUGGAGGAAACAUUUAAUAUCAUACAGCUGAUCUCUGUAUUUAAGAUCAAGCAGCUGGAUAACCAUUUGGCCUCAAAAAUCCACCACUUGUCUAUUCUCUGAUUGGACAGUCAGAGCAAAGUGCUGGUGAUGGUAUCUGAAGGGGUUUGAAUGAAGGCAACUGGACUUCUUAGAUAAAUAAUAAAUGACCUGCACUUGUAUAGCACCUUUCAGAGUCAGAGACUCCAAAGUGCUUUACACUACAGUGUAUCCAUUCACACACUGAUGAUGAGCUACGAUGUAGCCACAGCUGCUCUGGGGCUAGGGCUGCAACAAAUGAUUAUUUGGAUAAUCGAUUAAUCGGAUGGGGUCUCGACACGAUUAAUCGAUUAAUCAGAUUACAUGGGGAAAUUUUUAAAAACUGCUAGGGAAACGUUAUUUCUCUCCUUCCUUCACUUUAUUUAACACAACAUUAUUAGAAAACAGUUCAAUAGCAGAAAAACAACAUGCCAUCACCUAAAUUGUCUUAUAAGGUGUAUAGACAGAGACCCUAAGCUACAUAUAUCUGUGACCUAAAAUGCUUGCUCCAAGUUAAACAGUUUAAGGGCAAUUCUCAUGUGUUUUGUUUGAUCUCAUCUGUUGACAUUUAUUUUAAAUGUAAUUAAACAUAGGCUGUGAAUUAAUCAAAAUUGAUCACUAUUUCCAAAAAUGACUGAAAAAAUACCAAAUAAAACAAAAGUAAAUGAAUGCCAUCCUCCUUGCGAUGAUGCCCUGGGCAACUGCCAUAAAGUCACAUCAAGAAAUGCUGCUGAUCAUUCCAAUGAUCCCAAAUAGACUCACAUUAGGCCACAUGAAAGCAACUGAACCCAAAAAUAUAUUAACCAGUAUAUAACUGCACUCUCACACAACACGCCUGCAGCAACAGUUAGGGCUCCUCCCUCCCUUUUAAAAGCGUUUUUGCUUCUGAGGACAUUGUGGUUGUAAAACCACACGCUAGUAGUCUGGCCCCGGUGUGAUCAACCAGUUUCUGCGGGAAUGUGACGGCGGAACCAGGGCCAGAUUAACACUUUGUUGUACCCUGGGCAACAAUAUUCAAGGGCUCCAUCAUCACGACCCAAGGAUCACCAUGUGUGGUCACAUACAGAAUAUUUUACUGUAAUAUGCAGUAAAUAUACUCAAUACUUGAAUGCCUGACAACACGUAACCCGCCCAGAGUAACCUUUGACCCACCUCGUGUGGACUGACCAAUGAGGAGAGGGUCUUAACUUGAGGCCCUCUCUUCAUUGGUCAGUCUGCAUGAGACUGACUCUCAACUGACAUUCAGUCAUAGGCAGCAAAGCGUCUCUGUGCAGCGUAAGAGCCCGAGUGGACAGUUUGUUUAAUGUAGGGUGACCAUAUUUCCAUUUCCAAACAAGAGGACAGGGGAUCUGUGCCUAUGACGUCACACUAUGGCAACGCCACACAAACCAUGUUGGGACCCAUUUUCUGUAAGAACUAAAUUAAUAUCAGAUUCUGCCAAUUAAAGGGCUCUAAAACAAUUCAUAUGUAAAUAUUUUGCAUAUUUAAUGCAAAAUCUAAUUUUUCUGCUUUAAUGCUGCAACAAGGUUUUAUUAAUAAUAAAUUAUUAUACCUUUUGUUUUACUACAGCAUCGGUACGCUUCCUGUGCACAGAUUAUUAAGGAUGCUUGUUUCAGCUGUGAGAUUAGACGAUAGGAUCAAUGAAAAAAUAAGUUGUCACACACUCCAUGGAAACUUUCAGAGAAUCCACAAAUGGUGGCUUUCACAUGGUUUUGUUACUUUUAAAAAGUUUAGAAAAGAAGCAGAUGAGACAGCAUGUCUGAUAAUUUAGUUUUUCAUCUGAUAAUAUUAGAACAUGUCAGUAAUGUCUGAGGGGCUUUUAUAAACACCGUAUAACUAACACUACUGGAGAGGGUAUGAAUUACACAGAGGCUUCUGGGGAGCCCAUUUAUGGGGGGG
Long non-coding RNA from Nothobranchius furzeri (turquoise killifish), 3586 nucleotides. RefSeq lists it as uncharacterized. NCBI's taxonomy places the organism in Eukaryota, Metazoa, Chordata, Actinopteri, Cyprinodontiformes, Nothobranchiidae. The record is from RefSeq and is a predicted model, not a curated record.